GUGGCAUUGAUGGGCGGGGGGGAAUUAAGAAUGUUGUGUUUACAUUGCAGCCAGUUAAGACUGCUUGUUAUUAGUAAAUAAUGAGGGGACUGACACAGCUGAUCUUUUCUAUUUCUCUAAUUCUGCAAUUACAUGAUUUAUUCAUUCUUUCAGAGUGAGUCUGAGAAGCACUUAUGUACUGAGAGCUGUGCUGAAAUGUGAGACUGCAGGAAAGAAAAAUACCGCCUCUGUCCUCUAGGAACUUUCCAUCUAUGGGAAAGACGGGGACAAUGAAAGCAAUGAUCAUACUGUGCUGUAAGCGGAGUGAAAAGGUUAUGUCCAGGGUCCAGGGAGAGGAAAGAGGAGAGGCAACAUGGAGGAGACCUUCAGGGAACAGAAAAACCUGAGCCGGGUACAGUGAGGAGGACCUGGCGGGAGAGAAGUGACGACAGGCUGCUGCAGACAGAAUGGAGCUGUGCCGGGGCACCAGGGAAUGGGGAGCUUGGUGCUUCGUACAAACAGGUCAAGGUACCUGGAGCACAAAGGAGCCGGUUGGGAAGAGAAGAGUGGUGGUGGAAAAGAAAUUGAGGAGGGAAAGAAAAGGAGACAUGGCAAGAAAAAGAGCAGAAGAUUCUCUGCUUCAAGGAUCCUGGGACUUCCUUUGAGUCCUUGCACUUUAGCAAGUGAUGAACUCACUCACAAAGGGGGUGACAGACAUGCUAGAACAUUAGGGUAAUAGCUGGACUUUGUGCUCAGACUCAUGCAAGAGCAUGGACCAGGACAAUGCACAGGAACAACGGACCACAGAAACUCUCAGGAGUUGUGAGAAGAAAUCUGAACUCCUGAGAUGUGAAGGGGGACCACGGGGCUUCCGCUAACAACUGGAUUGCACAACCACCCA
This 880-nucleotide long non-coding RNA is filed under the name Fukomys damarensis (Damara mole-rat). Its description in RNAcentral is "lncRNA (ENSFDAG00000033210.1)". Lineage: Eukaryota; Metazoa; Chordata; Mammalia; Rodentia; Bathyergidae. The record is from RNAcentral.